UACAGAGGCCCCAAGCGUUACUGAGAAUCACUGGGUUUAAAGGGUGCGUAGGUGGCGCGUUAAGUCCGUUGUGAAAUCCCUUGGCUCAACCAAGGAAAUGCUUCGGAUACUGGCGUGCUUGAGGCUAGUAGGGGUCACUGGAACUGACGGUGGAGCGGUGAAAUGCGUAGAUAUCGUCAGGAACGCCAAUGGUGAAGACAGGUGACUGGGCUAGUUCUGACACUGAGGCACGAAAGCGUGGGGAGCGAACGGG
This 253-nucleotide ribosomal RNA is filed under the name uncultured bacterium. RNAcentral describes it as "partial 16S ribosomal RNA". It matches the Rfam family "Bacterial small subunit ribosomal RNA", at positions 524 to 776 of the family's 1533-position model. The record is from RNAcentral.